GACGAACGCUGGCGGCGUGCUUAACACAUGCAAGUCGAACGGAAAGGCCCUGCUUUUGUGGGGUGCUCGAGUGCGAACGGGGGAGUAACACGGGAGUAACCUGCCCCUGACUUUUGGAUAACUUUAGGAAACUGGGGCUAAUACCGGAUAGGAAUCCCUGCUGCAUGGGGGGGGUUGGGAAGUUUCGGCGGUUGGGGAUUGACUGGCGGGUUAUCAGCUUGUUUGUUGGGGAGGGGCUUACCAACGCUUUGACGGGUAGCCGGCCUGAGAGGGUGGCCGGCCACAUUGGGACUGAGAUACGGACCAGACUCCUACGGGAGGCAGCAGUGGGGAAUAUUGCACAAUGGGCGGAAGCCUGAUGCAGAAACGCCGCGUGCGGGAUGACGGCCUUCGGGUUGUAAACCGCUUUCGCCUGUGACGAAGCGUGAGUGACGGUAAUGGGUAAAGAAGCACCGGCUAACUACGUG
Molecule: ribosomal RNA, 467 nt
Filed under: uncultured bacterium
Lineage: Bacteria
Description: partial 16S ribosomal RNA
Rfam family: Bacterial small subunit ribosomal RNA
Source: RNAcentral